Molecule: long non-coding RNA, 2700 nt
Organism: Girardinichthys multiradiatus
Lineage: Eukaryota; Metazoa; Chordata; Actinopteri; Cyprinodontiformes; Goodeidae
Exons: 2
Source: RefSeq, a predicted model, not a curated record
GGUUCUGUUGCACAUCCCUGCUGCUCAAGAAGAGGGCGUGUUUCUACUGCAGCCUGCAAGCUCAAAGUUGUCUUCUUCUUGCACCGAAAUCCAUCUGCUGGACAAACCCCCCUUUCUGAAAUGUCUCCUCUGAGAUGAUACCUUAGACAGGCCUAUUAGAGCCCUCCUCAGUCUGAGGAUCACCUUCCAUCCUGCAUGAGAUGUUGCCACUCUGCAGCAAUUGCAUCUUAAAUACCGUUCAAUGGUUGCAUGAAAUGAACACCACAAAGUGCAUCUGCUGUUUUUCUUAUCGCAGGACAGAUUUAAACAGUGCAGAGACACAGCCUUACUAUUAUAGCUCAUUUAUUCAUAGCUUCAUUAGGAUUCAUGCCUUCCAGAAUUAUUCCACAUUUGAUCACAUUUCAACCAACAACCAAAGAUUAUUUCACUGGUUUCAAUGUUUUUUUUUUUUGUUUUUUUUUUGAAAGACCAGCACAAAACAUCAUCAUCGAAAAGGAAAGCAUACCUGGUUUUACUAAACUGACAGGCUGGGCAAACAGAGCAUUAAUCAGAGAAGCAGCCGAGAGGCCCUUAGUAACUCUGGAGGAGCUGUAGAGAUCCACAGCUCAGAACUUAGUCGUGGAGACUGUUAGAGAUUGUUAAAAGAAAGGCCUGUUUGCAGUUUGCCAACCAUAAACAUACAGCCAGAGAUACAAUGGACCAAAGAAUAUUCAUGGGUUAGAAUGGCCUAGUCAAAGUCCACUUCUAAACCUACAUCUAUAGCAAUCCAUCUUUCUCCAAUUGAUUGAGCUUGAGAUAUUUUGCAAAAGGACUGGCCAAAUCAUUCAGUCUGUAGAACUGCAAAGCUGGUAGAGAUAAACCCCAAAAGACCUGCAGCUGGAGGCGGUUCUACAAAGUUCUGGCUUAGGGAGGAUGAAUACAUACCGCUCGCAUGCUAAACGUUCUAUGUUUUUAUCUGUAAAAGAUGUUCCUUCCACUUGACAAUGAUGCUGCUUUGUGUUGGUCUGUCAUAUAAAAUGUCUCAAAGUUUGUGGCUUUAAUGAGACAGAAGGUGGGAAAUAUCAGAGGUAUCAGCUGGACCAGGGCCUGACUGCUGGUGGUUACCUCCUUAAAGCAGUUAUUACGGGGAAUGAAGGAGGAGGGAGAUGUUAUCCUGAUGGGAAACCAAACUAAACAUGAGCAUCAGGGACAUUUCAUACAUCAGACAUUUCAGGCACUCUGACUGAUUUUGAACAAAUCCAAAAGGUCCGACAGACCUCUGCUGUUUGAUACCAGCGAGUGUCUGAAGCAGGAAGACAAAGGGAUGCCUGCUGCCCGUCCAGAUUUCAUGCAGCCAGUUGACCAUGCUUGCCUGAGGUGAAACCAGUGCAGACGGAUGUGUACUGGUGUCAGUCAGACAUGGAUCACAGCAGUCAAUGGGUCACUGGUUCCUUACGAGGCCUGUCUUGUGUAAUUGUAGCCAAGCCUUUCAAGAUGAAUAACCAGCACUGUUUGAGUUUCGGGUUCAUAUGUCAGCAUAUCGGUUUAUUUAUUUUGUUUGCUGUCAAGUGACAUCAGUGUAUGGGCCACGCUGACAGAACCAGACUGUUCUACAACAACGGUUUCUCAGAACCAAAUUAAUGACAUUGUUUUAUUCACAGAGCUGAAAUGGAAGCGGUCACUAUGAAAAGCUGAAAUCCAGACGACAACACGUCCCAGCAGAGACCAAAGAGUCCAUCUCUGGGAUUUCCAGGGUCUGAUUUCAGUCUUUGUCUGACUUUCCCUGCAGCUGAGGUUUUUCUUUUACAACACGGCCACAGACUGAUUGAGCAACAGGAAUAAAGCAGCUGAACUUUGUUCAGACAUCAUCAUCGGGGACAUGCAGGCGGGGCGGGGGGAGGCAGGUCAUCCUAACAGGUAACUCAUUAAGACCCGGGUCGUGUGUACACAGGAUUUAUGUCCUCUAUGUUUUCAGCAGAGGCUGUCCCUUUGUGCAGAGACAACACAUUCUGUGAGAGCGAAGGGUGGAGGUGGUUUGAUACAAAGUCUGCCAGAGAGAUUCAGGUUGAUGACAUCACAGGGGGCACGGGAACUAAACUGAUCAGUGUUAGUAAACACUAUGUAGGAUUAAUAACCUUUGACACAUUUAAACUUUGAUUCUGAUGCAGAGUUUGAGUCCGAUGAACCUCCACAUGGAUACUGCUAUGGGUCCUGAAAAUUAACCUAACAGUGAUUAGGACAAUGAUUGUCUACAGAACUUUAACUGGUACAAAUUGGUCCGGUUGUCAUAAUUUGAGGGAGUUUGAGGUUUUGUUUUUGGUAUUUCUCUCAUUCUGAUUAUGUUCUCCAAGCUGUGUUUUGGACUUUGUUCAUGAUUGCUUAUGUUUUCCAUGUGGUCCUUCAGGUCAUUUCUUUAAGUUUAGUUUCUUGUUCUGAUUAUGGUGCAUUCUAGUUCUGUUACUUUAACAUUUAUGCUUUGGUUUCAUUGUCCUUGCCCCUUUGCUUAGACCAUUUAUGUUUUGUUUUCACUCUGCACCUUGCUAAUCAGUCUCCUAGCUUCACCUGUGCCGUGCCUCAUAUAUACUCCUCUGUUCUGGUUCUCCUUGCUGGUUUAUUAUGUUCUGUUCAGCUGUCCAUGCCAGAACUGUUUUUGCCAAGCCAGUUUCAUGUCCACCUGCCUGCCUGUAGGUUUUGUUUUGUUAUUAAACCUUUUUAUUUUUA